CAUAUUACUAUUUUUUUUUUAGUAUAUGAAAUUUUACUUUGAGAAAAUUAGAGUGCUUAAAGCAGGCAUAUGCCUUGAAUACUCCAGCAUGGAAUAAUAUUAAAGAUUUUUAUCUUUUUUAUUGGUUCUAAGAUAAGAAUAAUGAUUAAUAGGGACAGUUGGGGGCAUUUGUAUUUAACAGUCAGAGGUGAAAUUCUUAGAUUUGUUAAAGACAAACUAAUGCGAAAGCAUUUGCCAAGGAUGUUUUCAUUAAUCAAGAACGAAAGUUAGGGGAUCGAAGACGAUCAGAUACCGUCGUAGUCUUAACCAUAAACUAUGCCA
Molecule: ribosomal RNA, 321 nt
Filed under: Cryptosporidium hominis
Lineage: Eukaryota; Apicomplexa; Conoidasida; Eucoccidiorida; Cryptosporidiidae
Description: partial small subunit ribosomal RNA
Rfam family: Eukaryotic small subunit ribosomal RNA
Source: RNAcentral